Biomphalaria glabrata is the source of this 1584-nucleotide long non-coding RNA. RefSeq lists it as uncharacterized. The transcript is spliced from 4 exons. Lineage: Eukaryota; Metazoa; Mollusca; Gastropoda; Planorbidae. The record is from RefSeq and is a predicted model, not a curated record.
UUUUCUUCCCGUUGCUUCAGGUCAGGCUUGACUUGAUCGUGUAGUUCUUUCGGCCUAGUAAACAUCGACCGAUUUCAUUUAUCACCGGGGCUAGGGCCUGACAAACGUGUGUCAUUCAUAUAAGCACAAGUACUUAGUGAAAAUGCAACGGCGCCUGGUGAUUACAUAUGCCCAACCUGCGAUCGCAGCUGUGUAUCAAGGAUUGGCCUCUUUAGUCACACAAGAAGUUGCAUAGGGAAAAGAUCGUCUCUCGAGACGUAAAAUGCCACAGCGUGAGUAGAGGAUCAAAUUCAUACAAGUGUUCCUUUUGCCAUAGUGCCAUUAAAGGAUGGAAUAGUUUGCAUGAAUCAGCCAGGAAACCAACAACUUAGCGGAGUUGAAUUCAUUGCUUAACAUGCUUGAGUAGACUGACACACGAAAUGAGGACACAGGCUUGGGACACGCAGUUAGAGUCAAGUUUGAUCUGGGUGUCGACUGUAAACCCGUGUGGUCAUCAUCAUCAUCAUCAUCAAGCUCCAUUUGAGUGAGGGCUUGAUAGGCUCAAAUUCUCUCUUGCAAAAGCCCUGGACAGAAGGCCUGUUGUCUUGCGUAGUGCAUACACGUCACCAUACAGGUCGAGAAUUUUUGGUUUCCCAGAACUGUCGAGGCAUGUGGUAGAGUUGCUCUAAAAGCUUUGUAUGGGCCGUACUUCGUCGGUGACAUUGUAGACCUGUAUUGUAUCUCUUUACCACAGUGUGCCAAUUUGGCAAGUUAGUUCUUUUAUCAAUGUAUGUUCAUCUGAACGCAUAACGCUAGCCUAUAUAACGACGUUAUUAUAUUGAUUAGUCGCCUUCGUUGAUUACUAUAAUGAACCAGUGUUCAUAUCAUCUCAUUAAGCAUAAUCAAUGCUUGUUGUUUGCAUUACUUGUUUGGUUUAAUUGAUAUAUUCAAUUACUAAACUAUUAGGGGUGCCCGGGAAGACGAGCUAAGCUUGUAAACAUAUGACCCAUGACUGUGAUGAACAAUUUUAAUUUGACUUAUAAGUUAACACUUUUAGUUGUUUUUUAUUUUGUUUUUCUUUUGUUGUUUUUGUGUGUAUGUUAAUUUUUACGUUGCCUAGCUAUAACGGAAGUGGUCAAACAGAAAGUGUUAUUGAUUUGGAUCAAACAUUUGAUAUUUUGACUCGUUAUGUGCUCAAUAAUUUUCAAUUUUAAGAAAAAAAAAAGUUUUUUUCCCUCGUCUUCGUCCGAUGCUAGAGUUACGCCCCUCCAGCAGAUGUAAAUUUCCACGGUGCACCCAGCUUGAAAUAAUAGGCCACUAACCUGGUAUUGGUCAGAGAAUAAAAAGUAUAUGUAAUGUUGUAAUGGCCAAACGUCGCCUUUUUUAGUUCAAGAAACAAGAAAGAUGAACACGUCACAUGAUUUCAAAAGUAACUUUACGUUUUGCAAACAUUUUCAUUUUUAAGACUCUAUGUCUCUCUCUAUCUCUCUCUCCUAUUUUUUUUUUUAAUUUCAUUUAUUUGAAUGCAUAUCUACCAUUUCGAUCAAAUUCUUGCCAAAAAAAAAAAAAGGUGCAUAAGUCGUUCAUUUCCUGGAAAUCUCAGGC